AUGUACCACGUGGUGGAGUUUGUGAACGCCAGAAAGAACAAGCUGAAGUCUAUCGACGUUGUCCCUACUUCUUGGGUAAAAAACGACAAAUGUCUGUGGCCACCAUGGAAAAAUUCCAAGCUGGUUCAGGCGGCCAUCGUCUCGUCCUCGAUGCCGGACUCAUCGUGGACAGCUCACAAGAUAAGAAUUAUUCGUAGUUACCCGGACUAUACGACAGCCGUCUACAAAUGUGACAAGGCCACCAAGACGACCAGGCUAACAACUGACAGUGAGCAAGAUGCCACCAGCAGCAGCUCAGAUGACGAUGACAUCGGAGAUUACACAGACAUCCCGGAGUUCCCUUCCAUCAGGAACCCAGAGCUUGAAAGCUCAGAUGCCACCAGCGGACAGCGUGAUCAAAGCACGGUACGGCAUGAAGCGUCUGCAGGAGCCGGCGGCAGCUCUGAGCAGGACACUGCUCACGUGAUUCUUAGAGAGGUCCUCAAGCUAAGGGCUGAGGUCGCUGGCCUACAUGAAAUCAUCGAGGCCUUGCAACGGCGUAUUGAUCAGCAGCAGGCGGCGCCCAUUGGAGCCAGCAGGACAUCGAGUCACUUCCCUCUCAGUUCACGUGAGGAGUUGGAGGCCCUCGAAGCGAGACUGGUUGACGAGGAACACCGGAGUGACCUGGUCAAGUGGAUCUCCACGAUCGGUGGACACUCGCCAUCAGAAGCUGUGAUACGGCUCUUCAGGGCAUUGCUAACAGACGAGCUGGCAGUUGAGUACAGUUGGUGCGGAGCAAAUGGAAAGCUUAGGUUUGGCUCCCUUCGUCUAGCGGCGGCGGCUUUCGGAGACAAGGAGACAAAGGAAUUUUUAUGGUAGCGCCUGCGUGCUUCGCUGCCAAGGAAAUCCAGGCAUCAUCAGGAGGGGAGUGGGGGAGGCAGCAUUGUGUUCCUGGGUGGUGCCUCUACUCCUGAUAAGAUCGUGAACAUUUUGAAGAAGGUUCCCAGGUUUGCUACCGAGCCGUUGGUCCGGCCUCCGGAGAUCCUGGGCCUGGUGCGACAAGUGUCUCAAAAAACGAACCAGGAAAGCAGGGAGUGUUGCAUAUUGGAGUGUGCGGAAGGGCUUUUAAAAGGGGUUGGGAGAAAGGUGAGAAGGAUGAAUCUUGGGGCUGUUUUAUCGUUUUUCAAUGACUCGCGGUUAAAGUUGCUGGUAUCUGAUAAAGAAGGGGGCUUUGACGUGGCGCCUCAGGGUUUGUUCUUGGAGAAGGCCGGGGAGGCGAUGUUGAAGAAUUUUAGGCCAGUGUUGGGGGUUGAUUUGAAAAAGGUUAAGGCGCGUGCUGCGCAGUUAUGCAGUAACAUGGGGCUGGAUUCGCUGAGAAAGUCUGCGUCGGCAGCUAAAGGUCUUAGUCUGGAGGCGUUCUUCACGGUUAAGACCCACAAAGAGUUGAUGCCUUUAAGAGCCACUGUCACUCAGAAAGGUUCUUGGCAGGUGCAUGUGUCAAGCUUUCUGCAGCGCCACUUGUCGUCACUUAUGCUGGAUGACCCUUUUGUUGUUCGCAAUUCGGAGGCCUUGGUUAAUUAUCUACGGGAAGAUAAUCCUGGCUCGUGUCAGCUGGUUUUGUUUGAUGUGGAAGAUUUGUUUUAUGCAAUUCCCCAUUGUGAGCUCAUGCAGGCCGUGGAGGAGUGCAUUGAUACGUUUGGGGCUGUGGCCUUCUCGAGUUCCUGUGGGAUUGCGAGUGACUCUUUCCUUGAACUACUGAAUUUUUACCUCGCGUCCACCUUUGUUACAUUUGAAGGCAACACGUUUUCGCUGAAGAGCGGCAUAUGCAUUGGGUCGAAUGUUGCGCCCGUUCUCAGUGACAUUUAUUUGGCUAAGUGUGAUAGGGCAAUUGCUGAGCGGCUGGACGAUAGGGUGGUCAAAGUAUUGAGGUAUGUUGAUGACUACCUGAUUGUGCUGAAAAGCAACGAUAACACAGACAUUGAAAGUGUGAUUGCCUCGAUAUUACAUGUGUUUACGGAUUGUUCUCCGGGACUAAAGUUUAAGGCUGAGACCACUUCUGAGGGUGCCCUACAAUUUUUAGAUCUCAAUCUUCGAUGUGAGCCCUCGCAUUUGUGUUGGGCCCAUGAGCCUAGGCCUAAGAAGGGGCUCUUAGUAUAUGAAUCCGCACACUCUAAGACAAUAAAAAGAGCCAUUGCACUGUCCAGUCUCCGCACCGCCUUGUUUAAGUCAUGCCACCAUAGGUGUGGUGACAGUUUUUUGUUGCAAGUCACGAGGUUGUCAAAUGCUGGUUUCCCUUUGGGAGUUGUCAUGGGCGUCGUGGAAUCCUUGGUUAAGGUGUUUAGAGGCCCUGCUAGUACUGAGGCAAGACAAAAACCAACGGUAAGACCUGUGGUCUUGCCGUAUAUGCACAAGGUGUCCCAUGGUGUCAAGAAGGUUGCCAGUAGGUGCAACGUGCCAGUUGUGUUUUUGGCUCCAGCU
RNAcentral lists this small RNA (2457 nucleotides) under Ixodes scapularis (black-legged tick). Its description in RNAcentral is "uncharacterized LOC121048441". The record is from RNAcentral. Lineage: Eukaryota; Metazoa; Arthropoda; Arachnida; Ixodida; Ixodidae.